Molecule: ribosomal RNA, 1511 nt
Filed under: metagenome
Description: bacterial SSU rRNA
Rfam family: Bacterial small subunit ribosomal RNA
Source: RNAcentral
AGAGUUUGAUUCUGGCUCAGAACGAACGCUGGCGGCGUGGAUAAGACAUGCAAGUGGAACGACAGCUGGUGAGUAGCAAUAUUUACUAGAAGGAGUCGCGUAAGGGUGCGUAACACGUGGGCAACCUGCCCUGAAGUUUGGCAUAACUUGCUGAAAGGUAAGCUAAUUCCAAAUGUGAUUGUCAAUUGGCAUCUAUUGACACUCAAAGCUGGGGACCUUCGGGCCUGGCGCUUUAGGAUGGGCCCGCGGCCUAUCAGCUUGUUGGUGAGGUAACGGCUCACCAAGGCAACGACGGGUAGCUGGUCUGAGAGGACGAUCAGCCACACUGGAACUGAGACACGGUCCAGACACCUACGGGUGGCAGCAGUCGAGAACCUUUCACAAUGGGCGAAAGCCUGAUGGAGCGACGCCGCGUGGGGGAUGAAGGGCUUCGGCUCGUAAACCCCUGUCAUUUGGGAGCAACUCUUUUCUGUUAAUAGCGGAAAAGCUGAUAGUACCAAAAGAGGAAGGGACGGCUAACUCCGUGCCAGCAGCCGCGGUAAUACGGAGGUCCCAAGCGUUGUUCGGAUUCACUGGGCGUAAAGGGUGCGUAGGCGGUCAGAUAAGUCUAAUGUGAAAUCUCCGGGCUCAACCCGGAAACUGCAUCGGAUACUAUUUGGCUUGAGGAUUGGAGGGGGGGCUGGAAUUCUCGGUGUAGCAGUGUAAUGCGUAGAUAUCGAGAGGAACACCAGUGGCGAAGGCGAGUCCCUGGACAAUUCCUGACGCUGAGGCACGAAAGCUGGGGGAGCAAACAGGAUUAGAUACCCUGGUAGUCCCAGCCGUAAACGGUGCACGCUUGCUGUGCGCGGAUUCGACCCCGUCCGUGGCGUAGCAAACGCGUUAAGCGUGCCGCCUGGGAAGUACGGUCGCAAGAUUAAAACUCAAAGAAAUUGACGGGGGCCUGCACAAGCGGUGGAGUAUGUGGCUUAAUUCGAUCAACGCGAAGAACCUUACCUGGCCUUGACAUGCAUCUCUAAGUCGGUGAAAGCCGGCGAGGUAGCAAUACCAAUUUGCACAGGUGCUGCAUGGCUGUCGUCAGCUCGUGUCGUGAGAUGUUGGGUUAAGUCCCGCAACGAGCGCAACCCCUGCAUUCUGUUGCCACCCGGUCGAGAGACUGGAGCACUCUGAAUGGACUGCCUCGCUUCAACGAGGAGGAAGGUGGGGAUGACGUCAAGUCAGUAUGGCCCUUACGGCCAGGGCUGCACACGUACUACAAUGCCCGGAACAGUGGGAAGCAAGACCGCGAGGUGGAGCAAAUCCUCAAAUUCGGGCCCAGUUCGGAUUGUAGUCUGCAACUCGACUACAUGAAGCCGGAAUCGCUAGUAAUGGCGCAUCAGCUACGGCGCCGUGAAUACGUUCCCAGGCCUUGUACACACCGCCCGUCACAUCAUGAAAGCCGGUUGUACCCGAAGUCGCCCGUAAAAAUGUGCCGAAGGUAUGGCUGGUGAUUGGGAUGAAGUCGUAACAAGGUA